UGUACGAGAGCACCCUAACUCGCCCGUUCCAGUAAAGAUCGCGCUCCCAAGAUUGCAAUGCACUGGGCAGUACCAUGCAUAAGUAACUUAGCCAAAAAGAGAGUCAGAAGCAGCGCCCAAGUCAAGGAGGCUCCAGAUGGUGGCACGUGUACGACUGGAUGCGAGCCACGUGUCCAGGUCUGUAACUGCCAGGAGAGAGAAAGUGACCAGGUAUAUAAG
This 219-nucleotide long non-coding RNA is filed under the name Phaseolus vulgaris (common bean). RNAcentral's name for it is "long non-coding RNA (PVUL_LNC002998)". The record is from RNAcentral. Lineage: Eukaryota; Viridiplantae; Streptophyta; Magnoliopsida; Fabales; Fabaceae.